AACGAACGCUGGCGGCGUGCCUAACACAUGCAAGUCGGACGGACUCAUUUUGAAGUAGCAAUACGGAGAGGUGAGUUAGUGGCGGACGGGUGAGUAACACGUAGGUAACCUACCCUUAAGAGGGGGGCAACUCAGGGAAACUUGAGCUAAUACCCCAUAAGACCCCGGGCUGGGAGGCUUGAGGUAAAAGGUAGCGAUAUGCUUAAGGAUGGGCCUGCGGCCUAUCAGGUAGUUGGUGAGGUAACGGCCCACCAAGCCUAAGACGGGUAGCCGGGCUGAGAGGUUGAACGGCCACACUGGAACUGAGAAACGGUCCAGACUCCUACGGGAGGCUG
RNAcentral lists this ribosomal RNA (335 nucleotides) under uncultured Nitrospirota bacterium. Its description in RNAcentral is "bacterial SSU rRNA". It matches the Rfam family "Bacterial small subunit ribosomal RNA", at positions 29 to 351 of the family's 1533-position model. Lineage: Bacteria; Pseudomonadati; Nitrospirota. The record is from RNAcentral.